UUGCAUGGUCUGCUAAAAAAGCACCCAAAAAAUGCAUCGUCGUCUUUGUGCAAGAAUUGGGUCUUGAAAAGCAGCUUGCAGCAAGUUGGUGGGAUAACUGGGAAGGCUGGGGCUGACGCUGGGAUGCAGUGUGGCUGUCUGCAUCUGCCUGAGCAGAGGGAUGAAAAUCAGAGACCCGGAGCAGGGAAACAGUGGAUUUUAGAGAGCUGAGCUUCAUCCUGGGUCUGCCCCUUGUGCGUCUCCACCGUGAGGACAUCUCUUCUUUGUAGAUGCCUGCUGCACUUCGGUCAUUCUCACUUCUGGGUCUGGAGUUUUGCAGGGGAACGGCAGCUAUCCUUCCCAGGACAGGAAUGGGUUUUGCCAAAUUUUAGGUUGUUGCAAGAGCCAGGUACAGCUGAACAGGCUCUCCACGGUCGUUUUAUGGCAUCUCCAGAGCACAACAUCUGGGCAGGUGUAGACACCCAGAGCUGAGCCUGUUUCCAACAGGUGUAUGAGGGCUCAGAGCCAAGCACCUACGUCAGGGACUGAGUUUUGGAGAGGAAUAUCUCAGGCUGCAUAAGUACAAGGUCUGUAGUGUAAUUAUCAGAAUGUAACCACAGCAGGGCUCAGGGCAGUGCUGGAAGACCUCUCCACCGCUGUGUUGUGCCUCCUGAAGUUGCCCUGGUGCCUUCCUUGGACAAGGAGGGGUGUCACCAGAGAAAAGCCCCCCCAUCGCUGUCUCCUAAGGAGCCGCCUCGGUCCAGCAAUUCGGCUUUUCCCCUGGGCUGAUGGGUUCCUAUAGCAACAGUGAGCCGCUUGCUGCAGCUUUUACCUUUAUAACAAUAAAAGAGCGCUCACAUUCAUUUUCUGAAAUCAGUGCCAGUCACCCUGCGCGCUGCAGUGCCGCUUGUGUCGUUGACAUGAUUAUACUAAUCAGCAGCCAGUACACUGGCUGAAACAAUUCAGAGGCUGAAGCAAUUACCCCCUGCCUGGGACACCGCAGCUGUAGGAGCCCAUGGAGGGGUAUCUGCGCAACUGCUGUAGGAUCACCCCAAGUUCAUUACUGCCAAAGAGAGCAAAGUGCUGCAGGACAGCCCCAUCCCUGCCACAGUAAAUGCCUGCGUCUUCCUUACCGGCCCCAAAAAGGCAGGUAUUAAAAUGCAGCAAAAGCAAUGUUUUGGUUGUGGGACUUUUUUGCUCCAUCCUUGGCUUGUAGGAGAGCCCCAGGUGGUGGUACUGAGCUUUGGGUGAUGUGGCUGUAGGUUUUUUGGGGCUGGCACAAGGAACCCCAUCUCUCAUUGCCAGCUUGGAGAACAAUGUAGAAUUAAGUAUGGUAAAUACCAGGUUUUUUUCUGAGAGAGGUCGUGCUGACCGUGAAGCAUAAUUAAGGAGCUUCCUGGCAUCUGCUACAGGAGCUGAAUGAGGGAUAAACUAGCUGAAUGAAAAGUAAACUGGGGUUUAAGAAAUCUUCAUUAAUUUGCUGCAGCAAGAGCUUGCUAUGCUUAAGGAAAUUAAAAUGUGAGCUCUCAAAAUCAGCUUGCAGCAAGCUAAGGAGGAGGAGAUACCGGGGGAAUAUGUAAUGAGAUGGAAAUGGGUACAUUCAUAAAUCAUCUGUGGCGCUUUCAAUAAUUCACCACUGCUAAAGGACCUGGCAGUUCACAGAGAGGUAACAUCCACGUGGAGAUGUUCUGUUUGCCUGAUCCAACAAGAUCCAGGGCAUCUCCACACUGCCCUUUCUGUGUUGCACAGGGAAAGUGGGAUUCAGCUAGUCUGAGCUGAGCGAUAACACAAGUGCUAAUGUCUGAGGCUGGGCACGGACCACGUGCCCGCUGGAAAUUGCCACCUGCCGAGUUGCCAGUGGUGAUUUUGGUUUCAGCCCUUCAGAGUGUUUAUCAUCACAGACUCUUAGCUUUGAGUUAAACAAAAUUAUUUGUUUGAGUUAGGCAAAAUAAUUAUCCCAGUUCUUUGGGAAUCAGUCUUUUAAGCACUGGCAGAGACACCAGGGGUGGUGGGAAGCAUGGGCUGGGGAAGUCCACUUUGCAAGGCAGUAGAAGUUGUUCAAGGAAUAGGCUAUUCUAGGUAUUAUUUCCUAGGUUAUAAAACCAAGGUGGGUAUUUGGAUGCUGUGAUGCUGGGUGGGUGUUUUUCCUGCAAAUGAUAGAUUGAGUGUCAAAGAUGAUUAUCCAAAAGCCCCAUGCGGGCCCUGCCAAGGGCUGAGCCUCCAGGGCUGUGAUGGUGCCCAAGGCGGUUCCCAAGCCCUAAAUUCACCAAGUGAAAUAACAAGGAAAAAGAAGGUGGUGCGUAAAAUGGCUUGAUGUUACAUGGCUGCUCUGUGUUACCUUUUUUUGCAUGUCACGGUUUUUGUUCUCCUUAAGGUGUAAGAGGUGUUGAGUGCAUUUUACACGAGCUGCUUUCUUAACAUUGGUACAGCAAGUCUGUCUCUGUAGCAUCAGUUCUCUCCUCCUGCCAUCUGACUCGCUGCUGUCAGAAAAAGCAAUAGCUCAUCUUUGUCAGCUCUUUAACCCCACUUCUUUAAAAAAAAAAAAGAAUAUCAAUGGUGUGUUGGCCACUGCUGGCGCUGCCGCGUCCUUUGCGAGAGGUGGGGGAAGAGGAUGGGAGCUGAAAGGAUGUGGAGGUGAGCAGAGGGUCUUGUGGAAGUAGCAAGAAAAGCAAUUGCAGUUUUAAUGAGGCUGGGGAAAAGUCUUUGCUUUGAGCUGACUCUUCUUCUGGAGAGCGAUUUUCUUUUCAUUGCUCCUGAAGCUACAGUUUGUUCGAACGCAGCUUUUAAUGAUUCAUGAAGCAGCAGCGAGGAGGAGUUCUGUGUGGGAUGGUGGGAGGCUGACCUCGGGCACUGGAUAAACAACAUUAAUGGUUGGUAGAAAACAAGCCGUUUGACUGAAAGGGCUGAGCUCUCUCCGGAGAACAGGCUGCCCUUCCCCGGAGCGUGGCUGGCUGGGAGAGACCCUGUGCCUUCAGGAGAGGGAUGCCCAAGGACCUGGGAGGACUCCAAGAGCACUUUGCACUGUGUGAGUGCCACGAAACACAACUUUGCUCUAACUCCCCUUUUUGUGGGAUUGUCAAGACCGUAGUUAUGAGCUGUCAUUGACCGGUUUGGUGAUAUUGCACCAGCAGGUCAGUGUUGUGGGGUGCAGUUAAGGCUGUUGUCAUGCAUUUAGUGCGGCAACUUCAGUGAGUUAAGCUGAAUGUUUAGGAUUUGUGUACUUGGGAAAGCCAAACAGCUUGUGGUGGAUUCGAUGUGCUGUAUGUACGUAUACUGCUUAUAUAAACUAUCAUUAAUUUUGUUUCUUUUUCCAGGAAAAUGUCCUGGUUUCAGCUGGGAUAGAGUUAAUUUUCUUUUUAGUAGCUGGUGUAGUGCUGGGGUUUGGAUCUGGUGUAAGAGCAAUGCUGACAGCACACUGAUGGGUUUGGGUUUUGCUGAGUAAUGUUUAUACUAAGUCAAGGACUUUUCGGUUUCUGGGGUCCUGCUGGCAAGAGGGCUGAGGGGGCACGGGGAGCUGGGGGGGACACAGCCAGGGCAGCUGGCCCAAACCAGCCAGAGAGGUAUUCCAUACCGUGGGGCGUCAUGCUGGGUAUAGAAACUGGGGGAAGAAGAAGGAAGGUGGGGGACAUUCAGCCUGGUGGUGUUUGUCUCCCCCCAUCCCCGUCACACGUGCUGGAGCCCAGCUGCCCUGGGGAUGGCUGAGCACCUGUCUGCCCGUGGGAAGCUGUGAAGGAAUUCCUUGCUUUGCUGUGCUUGUGUGUGGCUUCUGCUUUGCCUGUUGAACUGUCCUUACCUAAUCCACGAGUUUUCUCACUUUUACUCUUCUGAUUCCCUCCCCCAUUCUGAGGUGAGGGGAGCGAGCGAGCGGCUGCCCGGGGCUGAGUUGCCAGUGGGGGUUAAACCCUGACACCUGGGAAAUGCUUCUUGCAGUAGGGCUUCACCAAGCCAAACUCUUCUUCCUUCAGUGGCUUCAUGCUGCAGAGCCCUGUGCACCACCUCUCCCAGCUCCAGCCAAGCAGCUGUGCCUCCGCAGGAAGAUAAACGAGUUUUCAGCAUGAGGUGAAGAUAAUCCUGUUCCUUGCCAGUUCGUGAUGGAGAUGGGAUGCGCUGAUUAUGAACCACCCCAGAUGGGGAGAAAUGACUCCAAGAAGCAAGUGCCAGCGGCCAAGGGGCGAAUGUCCUGGAUGGCAUGGCUGGUGGAGCGGAGGCAGGACCUGAGGCUGUGACCUCCCGAGGUCAGAAGUAAGAUGUGCAAGGCUACAGAUUCAUUUCUGGCAGAGCAAAAUGACACAUUCAAGCCUAAACAAUGAGGGAACAGCCCUUAUGGUCCAGUGAAACCCCAGCGAGAAGUCAUCACCUCUGUGAUGGACACUUUCCUGGACCUCUCCCACCUGUGGGCUCCUCAAGGCUCUCCGUGGCCUUGCUGCUAUCCUGAAGGGGAUACUAUCCCAAAAUCAUUGUGUGGAGGACUGAUGAGGUCCUGUCAAAGCAGUCUGUGCCUCCCCAAAAAGCAGAAGGUGGGGGCAUCGCUGAACCUGCUGACUGUAUUGGGGAACACCAAGUUGCUGGGACCAGACCGCUACUAACUAAGGUCAACUACACGCAUCCUCAACCAUCCAGCAUGCGUAGGUGAUUCAUCGUUAGAAAGAAGACAUUACUCCUUAUUUCCGCAGAAGUUGCUCAUCUCGGCUAUUCCCAGGGACUCCAGGAGUGAGCAAACCUCAGGCAGCCUGCUGCACCGUGCUAAUCUGAGUGAUGAUUUGUGUCAGGACAGAACAGGGUCAGCUCGUGUCUGUGAUGGGGCUGUUGUGGAAGCUCUUUGCUUCUAUUGUGUGACCGUCUUGCAGCAAUUCCUAUCUCUGUAAUAACAUAAUGGAGCAGGGAUGUUUUUUUUUUAUUUCUCUGCAAUCAGUGUAACAGAAGCAAAAGCGGUGGGGCACCUCGUUAGCCCUCCCAUCUCUUCCCCAUCAUUAACUGCUUUCUUUUCAUUCAAGCUGAAUAUUGUCUCCAAGAGGUUUUGGCCACCAGAUUUUUCCAUUGACCUCUGCUGAGCCCCAGGUACUUUGGCACUACUGGGAAAUGUACAGCAUUCACUUCUGGGCUGGGCUGGGGCUUUGGGCUUCAGCCCAAGCUGAAGAGAUGGGGCAGAAGGCGGAAUUGUGUUUGUCUGCACAUGGAUGGCUCUUCACCAGCACCAGCCACCAAGGACCCUGCUAGGGCAACUUCAUCACUCAAAAAUGUGCACGCCCUGCUUCAGCUGACCAAUCAAUUUGCUUUUUUGGCAUCCAGGGGAGCAUCGCAGCUCUGCUCUGCACCUUUUGGCACAGCUGGCCAUGUGUCGCACUACCAUAAUGGACAACGGACCAAGGCAAAUAGCAUUUCCACCAGCAAGAUCAUCACCAAAGGGCAUGAUGUUAAAAGAACUGUUUAAAUCUGCUGCUUGGCGUAUAGCUGUGGAAGCCUGGCUGCUGCCCUGGACCUCAGCCAGUGGUUGAAUCCAUCACACUCAUGGGGGACACGACCGUGUGAGGAUGGGCUAUCACCCCUCUGGGGACACCGUGGAUGCGGGGAUGAGCUUCGCAUUGCAACUGCCACCUGUGAUCCCGCGGGCCACGAUGCCUUCGUUAACCCCCUGGAUCUCAAAGGAGACCAUGAGCAGACCAGGUUUGGUCCAUAGACCUGCACACGGCUAAAGCAGCAUCGUUCCCAGCUCCUUGCUCCCACAAACCCCACUCCAUACAAAAUCCCCCUUCCUCCAGGGAUUUUGCAGGGCUUUCCCCACCACACUCGGAACUGCAUCUUCUGUUGUUGCUGCGCCUGUCCCUUCUUGUGUUUCUUUUGUUUUGUGUUCAUGGAAAAAAUAAUGGAACCACGGGGGCCAGCAGCAGCCCCAGCCUGUCCCAGCUGCAUCUCUGCUUCUUUCCAGCUAGGUAAUGGUUGAAGAGUAAUAAUAGUUAAAUAAGGGCUGACGCU
Falco peregrinus (peregrine falcon) is the source of this 5952-nucleotide long non-coding RNA. RefSeq lists it as uncharacterized. The record is from RefSeq and is a predicted model, not a curated record. Lineage: Eukaryota; Metazoa; Chordata; Aves; Falconiformes; Falconidae. The transcript is spliced from 5 exons.